This is a long non-coding RNA of Danio aesculapii, 1349 nucleotides long. RefSeq lists it as uncharacterized. The transcript has 3 exons. Lineage: Eukaryota; Metazoa; Chordata; Actinopteri; Cypriniformes; Danionidae. The record is from RefSeq and is a predicted model, not a curated record.
UGCUCGCAUGUGCACACAGUUCAGCGCUGCUCCUUUCAAAAUCCAAACUGUGUACUAAUACCUCAAAAUUACCUUCUGGCUGGCCACAUACAGUUUGAACCACAAUAAGGUCAUUUGUGGGAGGCAAUAGGACCAUGGACCCACCUACACUAAACCUGUACACGAGCACCGAGCCGUAGAGCUUCAGUUUCUCAAUGAGACCCAGCUAUUGGCAAGUCCUCUGGGAGGUGCUGCAUUCCGGUAUAGGUUGCUGAUUGAAUGUGGCAGGCGCAUGGACUGCCAGACCCCAGUUCAUCAACAAUGUCAUACCUGUGCAACGGCACGGAAAGAUGGCAUCUUCUUCAGCAUGCUCGUCUGUUCUCCCUCCCUUUGACACUAAAUAAACUCGCCAUUACUUUCAACUUCAAAACAACCCUUUAUUAGCUGACAAGCUGAGGUGUAGAUAAUGCUGAGCCCUUUGAUGCCUGAACUAUUCUUAGUCGUAGCUUUUUUCAGUGCCCUUACUCUCACAGCCAGUUUCCAACUGAGAACCAUGAGAGUUUUCUUUAUUUGUGCGCAAUAUAGUUGUGAUCCAAUUAAAUAUAUCUGACAUAAUAGUCGCAAAGACUGCCUGAAGCUGUAGACGAUUUAAAAAGCGUGAAGUUCGUGGCCUCUUUUUGUGUUUAUCUUACUGACACUGACACACAUUGGCAGUAGAGAGUAUGAAUGGUGAUAAGGGUUUUUCCCCUGGCCUCUAAUGUGCCUCAGAUAUCUCUCAACAUCAGCUGACAGUAGUGACAGCAGAGUCAAAAUUCACUCAUGUAAGAGUUACAGUACAUGGCAAAUGAGAGGGUAAUGGGACAUUGGGAUGUUUCUUCUUAUAAUGCACCAAUGGUUUUCCAAUUACCAUCUCUCAAGCUGGGGUGUCUGUUUAGAGCUUUACAGAGAGCUUUUAAGGCUUUUUAGUUAAGCAUACUUUUUCAAAUGUACUUUUUGAAAGACUUUAUGUCAAGGAAAACAUUGCAUCAUGAUUGUGUUUUGGUGAAGAAGUAGACUUCACUAACCAGCACAUAUAUGUCAUAUUUACAUAGAGGCUUUGCUGUGGAAUGUAGCCCCUGGCUGAAAGCUAGAACAUUGUGUAUAUUCUAAUGAUCAAAUAUAUUCAACAUGACCAAAUGUAUCUUUUUAGUGUAAACAGGGUAACACAUCUGAGUGUUUGAGCCACUUCUUGUUUCACCGAUGAGUGGGAGUCAUAUAAGAAGUGAAAUGAAAUCCAAAAGCUGAGGGAAAAUUUGUAUUCUUUUGUAUUUUCUGGACAAGCUAUUACUAAAACAAAUAUUACGCAUGUAACACUAUGUAUAUUGCUGUGA